RNAcentral lists this ribosomal RNA (253 nucleotides) under uncultured bacterium. RNAcentral's name for it is "partial 16S ribosomal RNA". It matches the Rfam family "Bacterial small subunit ribosomal RNA", at positions 524 to 776 of the family's 1533-position model. The record is from RNAcentral.
UACGGAGGAUCCAAGCGUUAUCCGGAAUCAUUGGGUUUAAAGGGUCCGUAGGCGGUCUAGUAAGUCAGUGGUGAAAGCCCAUCGCUCAACGGUGGAACGGCCAUUGAUACUGCUGGACUUGAAUUAUUGGGAAGCAACUAGAAUAUGUAGUGUAGCGGUGAAAUGCUUAGAGAUUACAUGGAAUACCAAUUGCGAAGGCAGGUUGCUACCAAUUGAUUGACGCUGAUGGACGAAAGUGUGGGUAGCGAACAGG